AUUGAACGCUGGCGGCAGGCUUAACACAUGCAAGUCGAGCGGAGAUGAGGUGCUUGCACCUUAUCUUAGCGGCGGACGGGUGAGUAAUGCUUAGGAAUCUGCCUAUUAGUGGGGGACAACAUUCCGAAAGGAAUGCUAAUACCGCAUACGUCCUACGGGAGAAAGCAGGGGAUCUUCGGACCUUGCGCUAAUAGAUGAGCCUAAGUCGGAUUAGCUAGUUGGUGGGGUAAAGGCCUACCAAGGCGACGAUCUGUAGCGGGUCUGAGAGGAAGUGCCUCAACACGGAGACUGAGACACGGCCCAGACUCCUCCGGGAUGCAGCAGUGGGGAAUAUUGGACAAUGGGGGAAACCCUGAUCCAGCCAUGCCGCGUGUGUGAAGAAGGCCUUAUGGUUGUAAAGCACUUUAAGCGAGGAGGAGGCUACUGAGACUAAUACUCUUGGAUAGUGGACGUUACUCGCAGAAUAAGCACCGGCUAACUCUGUGCCAGCCGCCGCCGUAA
This 501-nucleotide ribosomal RNA is filed under the name uncultured bacterium. RNAcentral describes it as "partial 16S ribosomal RNA". It matches the Rfam family "Bacterial small subunit ribosomal RNA", at positions 30 to 523 of the family's 1533-position model. The record is from RNAcentral.